This 510-nucleotide ribosomal RNA is filed under the name uncultured bacterium. Its description in RNAcentral is "partial 16S ribosomal RNA". It matches the Rfam family "Bacterial small subunit ribosomal RNA", at positions 28 to 507 of the family's 1533-position model. The record is from RNAcentral.
GACGAACGCUGGCGGCGUGCUUAACACAUGCAAGUCGAACGAAGAGCGAUGGAAGCUUGCUUCUAUCAAUCUUAGUGGCGAACGGGUGAGUAACGCGUAAUCAACCUGCCCUUCAGAGGGGGACAACAGUUGGAAACGACUGCUAAUACCGCAUACGAUCUAACCUCGGCAUCGAGGAUAGAUGAAAGGUGGCCUCUACAUGUAAGCUAUCACUGAAGGAGGGGAUUGCGUCUGAUUAGCUAGUUGGAGGGGUAACGGCCCACCAAGGCGAUGAUCAGUAGCCGGUCUGAGAGGAUGAACGGCCACAUUGGGACUGAGACACGGCCCAGACUCCUACGGGAGGCAGCAGUGGGGAAUCUUCCGCAAGGGACGAAAGUCUGACGGAGCAACGCCGAGUGAGUGAUGACGGCCGUCGGGUUGGAAAGCUCUGUUAAUCGGGACGAAAGGCCUUCUUGCGAAUAGUUAGAAGGAUUGACGGUACCGGAAUAGAAAGCCACGGCUAACUACGUG